RNAcentral lists this ribosomal RNA (253 nucleotides) under uncultured bacterium. RNAcentral describes it as "partial 16S ribosomal RNA". It matches the Rfam family "Bacterial small subunit ribosomal RNA", at positions 524 to 776 of the family's 1533-position model. The record is from RNAcentral.
UACGUAGGGUGCAAGCGUUAUCCGGAAUUAUUGGGCGUAAAGAGCUCGUAGGCGGUUUGUCGCGUCUGCUGUGAAAACCCGAGGCUCAACCCCAAGCCUGCGGUCGAUACGGGCAGGCUCGAGUUCGGUAGGGGAGACUGGAAUUUACGGUGUAGCGGUGAAAUGCGUAGAUAUCGUAAGGAAGACCAGUGGCGAAGGCGGGUCUCUGGACAGUUCCUGACGCUGAGGCACGAAGGCCAGGGGAGCAAACGGG